This 231-nucleotide ribosomal RNA is filed under the name uncultured bacterium. RNAcentral describes it as "partial 16S ribosomal RNA". It matches the Rfam family "Bacterial small subunit ribosomal RNA", at positions 15 to 244 of the family's 1533-position model. The record is from RNAcentral.
GAUCAUGGCUCAGAUUGAACGCUGGCGGCAUGCUUUACACAUGCAAGUCGAACGGCAGCACGGAGAGCUUGCUCUCUGGUGGCGAGUGGCGCACGGGUGAGUAAUACAUCGGAACGUGUCCUGUUGUGGGGGACAACCGGUCGAAAGACCGGCUAAUACCGCAUAAGACCUGAGGGUGAAAGCGGGGGACCUUCGGGCCUCGCGCAGUUGGAGCGGCCGAUGACUGAUUAG